Molecule: non-coding RNA, 700 nt
Organism: Camellia sinensis
Lineage: Eukaryota; Viridiplantae; Streptophyta; Magnoliopsida; Ericales; Theaceae
Source: RefSeq, a predicted model, not a curated record
GAGGUCCAAGGGGUCUUAACUGCUGCUCAGAAGCACUGGCCUCACAUCCAUAUAUUUGAUUCGCAGGUUAUGGCAGAUUCGGCUGUCAAGAUGGUAAAAGCUGGUUGCCAAUAUAUCACAGUUCUUGGAGUUGAUUUUAUGUCAGAAAAUGUGCGGGCAAUCCUUUAUCAGGCUGGCUUCUUAGAGGAAUGUUCUGUCACUUGGUUUGUUGCACGAGGAGCAAUUAACAAAUAGCAUUCACACAAUCAAUUGGUGUGGAAUCCACUUCAAUGAUUAUAUAAUGGAUAUUUUAUUUAAUAGCAUCGGUACCCAAUUUGUAUACAUAUCAUCGGUACCCAAUUUCUUGCUCACUGUAGAACUGAUGAGUGUUUUUUUGAGAUUGGUGGAGAAAGCUUGAGAAUUUAUAAGCGUGAGAUUCAAGAAAAUGUUUUGGAAAUUGUUGGCAUUUCCCCUGAGCAGGCUGAAGCAAAAUUUGGCUAUCUUUUGGAGGCUUUAGACAUGGGUGCUCUUCCACAUGUAUUUUGAUGGAUAUGGAUAUCAUGGAGCAUCACUUGAGCAAACAUAUCGAUGUUACCCUGCAUCUUUUAUUGAUAAGGUUGGAAAGCUUUCCUCAACAUGAUAAUUGUUUUGUUUUGUUUGAUUCACUUAAUUAAUUUGAUUUUAUUCAUUAUACUGUUUCAGUUUUAUGUUUUGUCAUCUU